UGCAAGUCGAACGGUAACAGGUCUUCGGACGCUGACGAGUGGCGAACGGGUGAGUAAUACAUCGGAACGUGCCCAGUCGUGGGGGAUAACUACUCGGAAGAGUAGCUAAUACCGCAUACGAUCUGAGGAUGAAAGCGGGGGACCUUCGGGCCUCGCGCGAUUGGAGCGGCCGAUGGCAGAUUAGGUAGUUGGUGGGAUAAAAGCUUACCAAGCCGACGAUCUGUAGCUGGUCUGAGAGGACGACCAGCCACACUGGGACUGAGACACGGCCCAGACUCCUACGGGAGGCAGCAGUGGGGAAUUUUGGACAAUGGGCGAAAGCCUGAUCCAGCAAUGCCGCGUGCAGGAUGAAGGCCUUCGGGUUGUAAACUGCUUUUGUACGGAACGAAAAAGCUUCUCCUAAUACGAGAGGCCCAUGACGGUACCGUAAGAAUAAGCACCGGCUAACUACGUGCCAGCAGCCGCGGUAAUACGUAGGGUGCGAGCGUUAAUCGGAAUUACUGGGCGUAAAGCGUGCGCAGGCGGUUAUGUAAGACAGAUGUGAAAUCCCCGGGCUCAACCUGGGAACUGCAUUUGUGACUGCAUGGCUAGAGUACGGUAGAGGGGGAUGGAAUUCCGCGUGUAGCAGUGAAAUGCGUAGAUAUGCGGAGGAACACCGAUGGCGGAGGCAAUCCCCUGGACCUGUA
Molecule: ribosomal RNA, 686 nt
Filed under: uncultured Delftia sp.
Lineage: Bacteria; Pseudomonadati; Pseudomonadota; Betaproteobacteria; Burkholderiales; Comamonadaceae
Description: bacterial SSU rRNA
Rfam family: Bacterial small subunit ribosomal RNA
Source: RNAcentral